Molecule: ribosomal RNA, 253 nt
Filed under: uncultured bacterium
Lineage: Bacteria
Description: partial 16S ribosomal RNA
Rfam family: Bacterial small subunit ribosomal RNA
Source: RNAcentral
UACGGAGGGUGCAAGCGUUGUUCGGAAUUACUGGGCGUAAAGCGCGUGUAGGCGGACCGGUAAGUUGGGAGUGAAAGCCCUGGGCUCAACCCAGGAAGUGCUUCCAAUACUGCCGGCCUUGAGUUCCGGAGAGGGUGGUGGAAUUCCCGGUGUAGAGGUGAAAUUCGUAGAUAUCGGGAGGAACACCAGUGGCGAAGGCGACCACCUGGACGAGAACUGACGCUGAGACGCGAAAGCGUGGGGAGCAAACAGG